UACGUAGGUGGCAAGCGUUGUCCGGAAUUAUUGGGCGUAAAGCGCGCGCAGGCGGUCCUUUAAGUCUGAUGUGAAAGCCCACGGCUCAACCGUGGAGGGUCAUUGGAAACUGGGGGACUUGAGUACAGAAGAGAAGAGUGGAAUUCCACGUGUAGCGGUGAAAUGCGUAGAGAUGUGGAGGAACACCAGUGGCGAAGGCGACUCUUUGGUCUGUAACUGACGCUGAGGCGCGAAAAGCGUGGGGGAGCAAACAGG
This 255-nucleotide ribosomal RNA is filed under the name uncultured bacterium. Its description in RNAcentral is "partial 16S ribosomal RNA". It matches the Rfam family "Bacterial small subunit ribosomal RNA", at positions 524 to 776 of the family's 1533-position model. The record is from RNAcentral.